Molecule: long non-coding RNA, 1552 nt
Organism: Lagenorhynchus albirostris (white-beaked dolphin)
Lineage: Eukaryota; Metazoa; Chordata; Mammalia; Artiodactyla; Delphinidae
Exons: 9
Source: RefSeq, a predicted model, not a curated record
AGAGGAAGAGGAACGCCGUGGUGCAGCACGGGAAAUAGGCUUGUCGCGGCAGGAAGGGGCUACUGGAAAAGCUUCCCCCAGCGCCGUGAAGAUAGGUUCCUAAGCCCGGAGGACACAAGCCAGAUGGGAAGGUGGUGCUACGGGCCUGGCCUCGCUCCUUCAGGACACAGAGGCUGCGACCCAGGAGCCCCUGGCAGAGUUGAGAAAACCAGCAUUGGGGCAGGGGCCUUGAAGAUCAUCUGGUUCCCGUCUCCAAGCCUAUAGGUGGGGAAGCUGAGGUCUGGAGAGGAGCAGGGACUUGCCCAAAGCACACAGAGAGCCACUCCUGGAAGCUCUUCUGGGCUUGGAUGCUGCCUGAGACGCACACUGAUGACAGCUUGGGAGAAGGAGGGCCACGGCCUAGUUGAGGAGCGCGCGUCUGAGAGAGUGUGCUGUGGCAUCCACAGCAGCAGCACUGUUCCUGAGGAGAAACUAAGAGCAACACAAACAUCCAGUAAGAGGAGAAUUGAGAAAUCAACCACAGCUCCCACAGCAGCAGGGGCAACCUGCUGUCUGAGUGGAGCAAGAGGAUGCCAGACACUGACCCAGGAUCGGGGCUGCCUGAUCCCUGCACUGGCCAGAGGAGGGUUUGCGGAAGAGAAGGCCUAGGAGGACCGACAACUUCUCUCCAACCUGCACAUCGGAGCUGGCCGGGCUCCCAGGGAAGUCUCAGAGCAUGAAUGGACUCCUUGCCCCACCCCGCAGCAAGCAGAGAAACAGCCAACACCGGGGACCUCCUCCUGGGCGGCCUCCAUGCUUAACCCUGCAGUUUCCACCUACAGAACAAGCACCAACUCCAGCCUGGAGACCCCAAGCCAAGGGCCAACCUUGCCCUCUGUUUGCCCUGCACUGCCCAUCUAAAUCUCUGAGGUGGAGGAGGUGGUCUCUGCGGUGGAGGAGGCGCUUCAGCGGCACGUGAUGCGCCGAGAGGUGUGCCCAGACUGGCGUGGAGCAAGGUAGGUGCUGGAUGAGUGGAUUCUGCUCCUCCGCUUUGGAGUUCCGGGAACAUCCAGAGGCUACAGCAGAGGCUGCAGGGCAAAGCCAGUGCCAAGGCUGCAGGGCUGGAAGAGGCCAGAGCAGGUACCCCCGCACCGGCUGCAGCACCAACAGGAGGGGCAGGUGUGUGAGUGCCUCAGGGACCCCCACCUGGCCUACGCCCUGCUCCUGGGCCUCUGAGGGCUCCCUCCCCACUGCCUGCAGGAUCCCAGCUCAGCUUCCCGGCUCAGCGCCUUUUCCUCCUGGUACAAAAGAGAGAAAGAGAACCAUGUACAGCAUGGAAGCUUUUUGUCAAUUUCUUGACUGUGGCAAGAUUUUAAUCUGCUGCCUUAAAGAAUCCCUGAAAACCACCCCUGUGAGGAUCAAGAAAGGGAUGAAAUACUGGUUUAUACAAUCCACUGUUGCAUGUAGCCUGAAAAUAACACUUUUCAUUAAAAAAGAAAAAUCAAGAAGAGCUUGAACACUCUCUGCUCCAGGGAGCUCGGAUUUACCUGCCAAAAAUAAAAAGUAAACUCAG